GGGAAAGGUGGAGGGUGGGACACUUCACCUCCGGGUAUCUCAGGUGUCCAAUUUAGAAAAAGAAGAAGAGGAGAAACGGGCAAAAGCUAAAGGGGCACUUCUAAAAUAUUUUGGAUCAUCCCAUGCCACUGGUCAGGAUGAGCUGCCAUCUACUCCCUCAGCUUCUGGAAUGUUCUCAGUGCCUCAGGAUGAGGAGCUGCUAUCUACCUCCUCAGAUACACAGGCUUCUGGAAUGGUCUGAACACUUCAGGGACAGCCACCAUCUAUGUCCUCAGAGACACUAAUGUCUGAUACUGAGGAUGAAGACUGGUUUGCUUCUACUUCUCCCUAGCAGGAGGAUCCUUCAGAAAUGCCUGCCGCUGAACCCCCACUGAAUCCCACUGCUGAGGAGGAGCCUCUGUCAGCUGACCCUGCCCAUUGGCCCUGUGAUGACUG
Sphaeramia orbicularis (orbiculate cardinalfish) is the source of this 435-nucleotide long non-coding RNA. RefSeq lists it as uncharacterized. The record is from RefSeq and is a predicted model, not a curated record. The transcript is spliced from 3 exons. NCBI's taxonomy places the organism in Eukaryota, Metazoa, Chordata, Actinopteri, Kurtiformes, Apogonidae.